UGGGGAAUAUUGGACAAUGGGCGCAAGCCUGAUCCAGCCAUGCCGCGUGAGUGAUGAAGGCCCUAGGGUUGUAAAGCUCUUUCAGCGAGGAGGAUAAUGACGUUACUCGCAGAAGAAGCCCCGGCUAACUUCGUGCCAGCAGCCGCGGUAAUACGAAGGGGGCUAGCGUUGUUCGGAAUCACUGGGCGUAAAGCGCACGUAGGCGGACUUUUAAGUCAGGGGUGAAAUCCCGGGGCUCAACCUCGGAACUGCCUUUGAUACUGGAAGUCUGGAGUCCGAGAGAGGUGAGUGGAACUCCGAGUGUAGAGGUGAAAUUCGUAGAUAUUCGGAAGAACACCAGUGGCGAAGGCGGCUCACUGGCUCGGUACUGACGCUGAGGUGCGAAAGCGUGGGGAGCAAAACAGGAUUAGAUACCCUGGUAGUCCACGCCGUAAACGAUGGAAGCUAGCCGUCAGGGUGCAUGCAUCUUGGUAGCGCAGUUAACGCAUUAAGCUUCCCGCCAGGGGAGUACGGUCGCAAGAUUAAAAACUUAAAUGAAUUGACGGGGUCAAGCUUUUCC
RNAcentral lists this ribosomal RNA (559 nucleotides) under uncultured bacterium. RNAcentral describes it as "partial 16S ribosomal RNA". It matches the Rfam family "Bacterial small subunit ribosomal RNA", at positions 355 to 930 of the family's 1533-position model. The record is from RNAcentral.